This 253-nucleotide ribosomal RNA is filed under the name uncultured bacterium. RNAcentral's name for it is "partial 16S ribosomal RNA". It matches the Rfam family "Bacterial small subunit ribosomal RNA", at positions 524 to 776 of the family's 1533-position model. The record is from RNAcentral.
UACGAAGGGUGCAAGCGUUACUCGGAAUUACUGGGCGUAAAGCGUGCGUAGGUGGUUUGUUAAGUCUGAUGUGAAAGCCCUGGGCUCAACCUGGGAAUUGCAUUGGAUACUGGCAGGCUAGAGUGCGGUAGAGGGUAGUGGAAUUCCCGGUGUAGCAGUGAAAUGCGUGGAGAUCGGGAGGAACAUCCGUGGCGAAGGCGACUACCUGGACCAGCACUGACACUGAGGCACGAAAGCGUGGGGAGCAAACAGG